UAUUAAAGAUUUCAUCCAUUUUUACUGUUAAAACUAAACGUGAUUGAUGGAAUAAGUAGACGUUACCUCAUGUUGAUGUACAUGGAGCAGUUUUUAACAAUAAAAAUGGAUGAAAUUUUAACA
Non-coding RNA from Gossypium hirsutum (cotton), 123 nucleotides. Lineage: Eukaryota; Viridiplantae; Streptophyta; Magnoliopsida; Malvales; Malvaceae. The record is from Rfam.